AAGCCUGCCAAUGAAUGUGCUUCUUUGAAUGUGUUUUUGCAGAAAUUUAGAAGCAGCUGGCAAUAGGGAACCCAUUUUAUGAGCCUUAGGGACAUCUGACAUCAUAGCAAUCCCUCAAAACGGAUACAAGA
Molecule: small nucleolar RNA, 131 nt
Filed under: Jaculus jaculus (lesser Egyptian jerboa)
Lineage: Eukaryota; Metazoa; Chordata; Mammalia; Rodentia; Dipodidae
Description: Small nucleolar RNA SNORA33 (ENSJJAG00000007463.1)
Source: RNAcentral